This is a long non-coding RNA of Dama dama (fallow deer), 18655 nucleotides long. RefSeq lists it as uncharacterized. NCBI's taxonomy places the organism in Eukaryota, Metazoa, Chordata, Mammalia, Artiodactyla, Cervidae. The transcript has 3 exons. The record is from RefSeq and is a predicted model, not a curated record.
GUAGUCUGAACAAAUGUGCAUCAAAACGUUAGAAUGACUUUUUCUGGAUGGUGAAAUAACCGGUGAUUUUCGUUUUCUUUUCUCUUGAUAUAUUUUUGUCCUUUUUCAAUUUUUGUCCAAUGGAAUUGCUUAUAUAUUUAAUUCUUACUGCUUACAAACACAGUAGUUCACAAACCAAUAAGUUAUAUCUCUUUUGGACUCAGAAUCCCUUGCUCCUUUAACUUUGUCUCUUGUUGUUUUCCCCCAGGUUUGCUAUAUGUCUUUCUGUUUUAAAUAAUAAAACAGAGGAGGAGGGUACAUGACACAUGAGACCAAGUCAUCUAACAUCUGGGGAAUUAGCCAUUUCCAGCCCCAGAUUUUGGCUCUCCCCACUCAUCCCAACGCCCACUCUCUCCUUUUGUGUCAAUAUGUUGGGGACUGACAUGUUCCUCAACAGGUCUUCCAUUUUAGUUUCUCCCUCUACAAUUGCUCUUGAGCACUUCUAGCACUAAUUUGCUCACUCACUCAUUCAUUCAUUCACUCAUCAUAAAUCAUGCAUGAAUCAGAAAAACCGAAUAAGCAUGUGGUUUAGAGUUGAGGGCUGGGGUCUGAAUCUGAACCUGCCCGAGGUAUACCAGGAUCAUGUGAAAAGCAUUUGAACAACUGUAAAGACUGGACCAGUGGGAACUGUCAUCACUCAGGCCCUGUGCUGACCCCUCUGGGGGAAAUGAAGGGGAGCGUCUGUCCUCAAGAAGCUUAGAAUUGUCUGAGAGAGUCCGGGUGUAAAUGCAAAGGGGAGGGGAGAGCAAGUAGGGAUGCAGAGAUAAUGUCCAUAGACAUGGCAAUGAAUGACUGGAUUCUGCAGAGCAGGAAGAAGCAUGAGUCAAGAAUCACCAUGGGGCUUGGGGAUGGCGUGACUGAGAAAAUAGUGUGCCAUUAAUGUAUUUAUCAAUCCAUCUACUCAUUCAUUCCACAAAUACACGCUGAGCAUCUGACAGCAGCCUGAUACUGUCAUAGCUGCUAGAAAUGAAACAGCAAAGAAAACAGAUAACAAUCCCCCAACCACCCCAUUCUGCUUAUAUUCCAUGAACAGCAGAGAAAGAGGAAGAAAACAAGUACAUAAACAAGAUCAUUUCCAAAGGUGAUAAGUGUUAUGAAGAAAAUAAUACUUGGUAGUGUGUCAAAGAGCAACCAGGGGAGGUGACAUUUGUUCUUGUGUGUCAUCGGCUGAAAUAGAAUUUGGGGUCUGGACUGAGGAGGGAGAUGGUGAAUUUCAUGGUGGGGCUGCUGACUCAGAGAUGCUAAGAUUCGCCUCCUGGUGAAAAUGUUUUACCUCUUAUUCAACUCUGCAUUGUAUUAUCCUCUGGCUCAGAAACUCAGUGGGUUCCGACUGUCCUCUGGAUAAAAUUCUAAUUCUUUAGCUUGACAUUCAAGGGCCUUCACAAUCUCCCCCAGCCUGCCUGUCUGCCUGCCCACAUCCUCUCGUAAACCUUGCAUUUGGCCUCGAUGGGCUCUUCACUAUCUCCACUUAGGCUGGGUCCCUUUGUAGCUCCAUACUUGGAUCCUGGCAGUCUCCCAAGUUCUCUAUGCCACAGCUAUCCUGCUCUUCUUGGGGAUCUGGCCUUUUCUCUGCCUCCCUGCUCUCUGAGAUUGUUAAAUGUCUCAUAAACGAAGACCCUCCUCUCCUGUGAGAAUGCAGUCUCCUUAAGAGAGGGGCUGGCCCCUUCAUGACCCUCUCUCCAUUGGAUUUGCUGUGUACAUCUGCUCAGAAGCACAUUAAGCAGCUUUACAGAUCAAUUAUCUUCUUGUAUAAAAUAAGAAAAGACAGAAUGAGAAGAGUCCAGAAAACCAAAGAGUUUCCCGCCCAAAUUCACAGAGCCAGGAGAUGACAGAAUUUGGCCAUGGUCAAGGGUUCAGAAACAAUCAACAAAGAAGUGAUUCAGUUUGCUAGUGGAAUCAGAAGUUGGAAUUGUGUAUCUAGGGAUGGACCUGCUCUGUGUUGCAUUUUCUGAGCCAGAGAGCUCUGGGAUUCUUCCCAUCCUUUGAGGGGCAGUUCACACAAGGGGCAGAAUCUGGACUCAGGUCCAGAGGAAUCCAUAGCUCCUCUCUCCAAGGAAAUCAAUCCUGAAUAUUCAUUGGAAGGACUGAUGCUGUAGCAGAAGUUCCAAUAAUUUGGUCACCUGAUGCGAACAGCCGACUCAUUAGAAAAGCCCCUGAUGCUGGGAAAGAUUGAAGGCAGGAGAAGAAAGGGGCGACAGAGGACGAGAUGGUUGGAUGGCAUCACUAACUCAAUGGACAUGUGUUUGAGCAAGCUCCGGGAGAUGGUGAAGGACGGGGAAGCUUGGCGUGCUGCAGUCCAUGGGGUCGCAGAGUCAGACACAGCUGAUCCACUGAACAAUAGCAACCAAGGCUUCCUUCCUCAGUUUCCUUGGCUUCAUCCUAAUUUCCUCCUUUUAAGCUGUGGGGGAAUGGAGCAGUCAGUUUACCCAUCUGAAAUGCAGGAUCAUGGGGGAUGAGCUGCCCCUGCGCUUCCUACCUCCCCUUCAGCAUCAUUUGAUACUGAUGCUCACCUUCUCUGCUUUGAGGCUGUGACGUCAGGGCGAUGGAAGGUUAGGAGAGAGACACAUGAUUGUCAUGACGGAUGUUUGGGAUGAAAGUCAAUACCAUAAACAGAUUCAUCGUGACACUCCUUCUGGUGCAUCUUUCAUCUAGGGAGUCUCAAAGCCCUGGACAAAUGAAAUUGCUAUUGCACGUCCCGGCAUGCAUCCGCACACUCAUUUUACAUGGCUGAGGUCAUACAGUAUGAAUAAUUUAGCCUUAUCUGCACUUCACAUGAACAUAUGAGAAAACAGCUCUGCAGCAUAAAGGAAUAUUCCUGGGUCACAUAGUGAGUGGCAGAGCCUGGACCUCAGAGCUUUCGAUCCCCACGCCAGUGUCCUUUCUACUUCGUUCAUCCAUUCAUCCAUUCAUUCAUCCAACUGUGAGAACUGAGCUGACCUCCAGGUACUGUGCUGGGCUCUGAUGAUACAAACAAACAGGACAGGGAACAGUGCGAGGAGAGCUGUGUACUUGCUUUGAGUCCUAAAACCUAAGGGAAGGGUGGAGUGCCAAAAAGAUAAUAUUUUAAUGCAAUGUUUUUAAAAACUCACAUGCUAAACUAUGGCCCAUAGGCCUGCAGUUUAUUUUUGUGAAUCAAGUUUUGUUAAGAUUAAAUCUCAGCCUCUGUUUUGAGGAGCCCACAGUUUGAUCAGAGGAGAGAAGCCCACAUGGAAUAUUUAUUUAAUUCUCUGUGAGUGUCCUCAGGAAGCCAGCCAGGGGGUGCGGGGGAGAGUCGGGCAGCGAAGGAAAUGUGCAGAGGUACGGCUGUAUGAGAGCUGGGGUCAUGGAGGGGAAGGACAGCAGAGUUCUCUGGUGCAGGAGAGACAGGGUGAGGAGGCAGGGGAAGGAGUGGUGGGUGAGCAAAUCGCAGAGAUAAGGGAGAGGAGAGAGCAGUGCAGGGUGCACUGGGCUGAGAAGAGUCCUCAAAGGAUCCGGGGCUGGUGAACUACCCUCCGGCCGACACGAGAACAGGAGAAUAAGACCCAAGCCAGAGUGGGCAGCAUGCGUGGGUGCUAAGUUGCUUCAGUGGUGUCUGACUCUGUGCGAACCCAUGGACUGCAGCCUGCCAGGCUCCUUUGUCCAUGGAAUUCUCCAGGCAAGAAUACUGGAGUGGGUUGCCAUGCCCUGUACCAGAGGACCUUCCCAAGCCCGGGAUCGUACCCAUGUCUCUCAUGUCUAACCUGCAUUGGCAGGCAGGUUCUUUACUACUAGUGCCUCCUGGGAAACCCAGAGGGGUCAGAUCUUCCCUCAGAAAUACGUUCACAACACAAUGAAUAUAUUUGGCCAGUUGUCCCUGGAUGUGCCUAGGGUAUCUGCCCCCCUCUAUUCUGUGUCCCCCACCCUGGGACUCUCCCAAGGGCGGAAGAUGCCCACAAGCUGAAGCUGCCUCAGCAGAGCUGCUCAGAGCCAAGGAACGCCUUGGAAGAAAAGGAACUUCCAAGGAAUUCUUCUCGUUUGCUGAGAAUAUUAUAAAUGCACACCUAAAGAUAUUCUAUGUGGGAACCUCCCUGGGGGUCCACUGGUUAUGAUUUCAUCUUCCAGUGCAGAGGGUGUGGGUUCCACCCCUGGUCUGGGAGCUGAGAUCCCACAUGCUUUGCAGCCAAAAAACCAAAACAAAAAACAGAAGCAGUUUUGUAACAAAUUCAAUAAAGACUUUAAAAAUGGUCCACAUCAUAAAAACCAAAAUCGUAAAAGAUAUUCCAUGUGAAUCACUCAGAAGAGAGUCUGGCAUAAAAUAAAUACUAAAAAAAAAUGAUGGCUAUUACUUUAUGUUUACGAUAAGAGUAUUUUAAAUAGUUUUUUAAAGUUAUAAUUUGUAAGACCCAUGUUUGAAGGACGUUGUCCUUCAUAUGCUUGUCCUUCCACAUAUGUUUACAUUGGUUGUUGAUGAUUGCAAGAUGAAUCUGCUAAAUCAGACUGUCAGCUAAUAGUUGGGAGGGCAGGGUUGUUUGGGAGGGAGUAGAAUCCUGGGGAAGAUUUAAUCAAAGACGACUUCCUGGAGGGAGUGCUGGGCGAAGAGUUUUAAAGGAAUUGAUGAGAAGAUGGAUGGAAGCAUGCUAAGUGACAUGGUAUCUGAAAGAUGGAACAAUUUUGCCUACCUUCUCUGAGACUUAAUUGAUAUCAUAUACAUUAAAUGGGUGGCAUGUAACAGGAACCCAGUUAGUGGCAGAUGAUGAAGAAGGAGGGAUGCAGGGGGCAGGGGGCGAGAGAGAAAGAGGGAAAGGGGCCAAGAAGCAGGAGACCUCAGUUCCAGACAUAGGUGUGCCUCUGGUUAGCAAUGUAAGACUUUGGAAACAUCACUACCUUCUUAACACCUCAGAUUUCUUUUCUUCAAAAUGGAUUAUUCAGGUUAAGAUGUCCACCUCUGGGAGUCCUUGAUUAUAAUAAAUACAAAAUUAUAACAGCUAUUGUUUAUUACUGCCUACAAUAUACCAAUCACCUUUUUAAAUGAUAAACAUAACAUCUUAUUUGAUUUUCACAACAAGGCUGUUCAGUUCAGUCACUUAGUCGUGUCCAACUCUUUGUGACCCCGUGGACUACAGCACGCCAGGCCUCCCUGUCCAUCACCAGCUCCCGGAGUUUACUCAAACUCACGUCCAUUGAGUGGGUGAUGCCAUUCAACCUUCUCAUCCUCAGUUGUCCCCUUCUCCUCCUGCCUUCAAUCUUUCCCAGCGUCAGGGUCUUUUCAAAUGAGUCAGUUCUGCACAUCAGGUGGCCAAAGUAUUGGAGUUUCAGCUUCAGCAUCAGUCCUUCCAAUGAAUAUUCAGGACUGAUUUCCUUUAGAAUGGUCUGGUUGGAUUUCCUUGCAGUCCCAGGACAAAGCUGUUAGUGGUAACAAGUAACAAAGCUUAGUGGACUUCAUUAUUAUUCCCAUUAUUUGUUAAGGAAAUAGAGGCUCAGAGAAGUCAAGUAACCUGUACCAAUGGUAGCUUUAGUAAAUAGGGUCUCUGACUCCAGGAAGGCAGAGAGAUGCUGUCUCCUGGGAGCCAUCCCCUCUACAGAGAAACUUUUCCCCACAUGGCUGGGAUUGGUGUUGGCUGGCUCACUGGAGGCAACAAUGCUACAGGAAGGAGUCUGCUGUCCUCCCGGGUUUCACCACCCAGUUUCUGUGGCAGCCCUGGCCCAUACCUUGAACAUCCCCCUACCCACCCACACCGCCCACCUCAGCAUAGUGACUUUUCCCCAAAGCUGUGUCACUCCCAACAGAUGAGACUCAGGAAAAAGCUCCCUGGUUGAAUCACAGUGACCACUUCCUGUUUCAUUCAGGGUCCCCUGUGCUCCGGAGCCCUCUCUCUGCCAUGCCCUGUUUAGUAAUAAGAGUCAUGGUAUGUAUGACCCCCACCACCACUCCCCACUGCUAGGGAGACUUAGUCACCCUUUCCUAUGCCCUUAGCCUACCAGGCUGAGGGGCGCAAGCUCUCAGCUUCCGCCCUGUUCCACACCCCGGCUACAGAGAGCCCAAUGGGACCCUGGUUGUCCUGGGGCUGGGUAAGGAGGCAAACCAGGACCCCAUCCCUCCAGACGGGUGAUGUAAGACUGAUGGGGACAGGUGGGCGGACGUUCAAGCCUCAGCCAUGAAGCAAGGAGUAGUCACUGACCCCGUGGGCACCUCGUGGGCACCCACUCAAGGCAUACUGCUGUCUCUAAGCCCAGGGGUCAGGACUCUGUGUGGAAAGAUAAACACAGAUGGGGUUGUGUGUCUCGGGGGAAACCCCAGUCCUCUCCCAGUUGCUCAGAACAGGCAUCCUGGAGGUUGACAAACUGCAAGGAAGAUUGAGUGUGAGAGAGGAAGAAGUCAUCAGAUAUUUGAGAGGGUGUCUGGUGGGGGACACUUCCUCUGGGUAGAGGAAUCCAGGAACAUUGUUUAAGAUCUUUUGAAGUCUUAAGCCUCUAAAGGUAUUUCUUGCCCACCCUCCCCCCAAAGGUAAUACAAAAUUAAGCAUCUAAUUCCUAAAAACAAGUAUAAUGAAGUCCAAUAAAGUUCUGAGUUUUCUCAUGAACCACCUUAGUGCUUUUUUUCCCUUCUCUUUUUAAUAAUAGUUAUCACAUAUCAGUGUCCCUUGAAAUUGUUUUUAUGCUUUCAGAUGCCCCCACUUUGCUGUUCCAAUAGCCCUGAUGGUCGGCCUGUUGGAUAAUCCUGCCCUGGGAACAGAGGAUGGGUGUCCCUGGGCCACAUGUGUCGUCAAGUAGAGGGGAGGGCUUUCUCACCAUGUGUGUUGUAUGACCACUGAGUGGGCCGCCCAGGAAAGGAGCGCCUGGUCCUUUGUGUGUUCACACCCCGACGAGGUCAGAAGUCCCCAUGACUAGGAUGGGUGGUGUGGGAGAGGGAGUCUGGAAAGGGUACUCUAAGGUCCCUCCCAGUCCAGUGAUGCUAGGGUGGGAAUUCCAAGCACCUUGGAAAGAAAGCAUUCAUGAGACUUGUUUCAGGCUAGUGGUCAACCCAGCUGUGGGUUGGCCUCUGGGGUCCUACUGGGGACUUUGAGGAGAAGAAUUUCUCUUCCCACAAGGAAGACAAGCUGAGACUUGCCUUGGAAGCUUUGGGACCAACCCUGCAGGAGCACCUGGAAAACCAACCACUGCCGCCAGAUGGCACUGGUGGGGGGUGUGCCAGGACCAAAUAGGCGGGACUACGGGGCAUCUGGGCCACCAAUCCAAGCUCUCUGUGUUUAAUGUAGGCAAAUGCUGCCCCAAGUCCUUCUGAUUCAUAAGAUCUCCUUGAAAGUCACAGCUGCUUUAUUGGGUCCUUGUAUGCCUGGCACCAAGGCUUCCCUGGUGGCUCAGACAGUAAAGAAUCUGCAAUGGGGGAGACCCAGCUUCAAUCUCUGGGUCAGGAAAGUCCCCUGGAGAAGAGCAUGGCAACCCACUCCAGUAUUCUUGCCUGGAGAAUCUCAUGGACAGAGGAGCCUAGCAGGCAGCAGUCCAUAGGGUGGCAAAGAGUCGGACACAACUGAACAACUUUCACUUUCACUACAUGCCUGGUACCAGCUUCCAGUUAAAUUAAUUGAAUGACUAGAGUCAGGAGAAAUGGGGUGGCAUAUUUCUUUUAGGCUGUACAUAAAUGCACAUUCUACAGACAAUAGCCUUCUGAUUGUUUAGUGACUUUGCAAAGGAUACACAGAAAACUUGUCAUGGCAUUUGCCCCUGGAAUGGGAGACCAAGGGGUGAGGUCUGGGGGUGGGAGGGAGACUCUUGGUCACUUAAUAUUAUUUUUAUCAUGUGCAAUUAUUAGUUACAUAAACUAACAUAGAAACACUUGCUUAAAAAUUUUCCAAAGUGCUUUCAGCAACUACGGCAGGUGGUUUAAGAGGUGGAAAGACAUAUUGAAUGUUGUAGGUGUGCGACCCUCCCUAGAAGGGGCGCUCGACCUUUUACUCAACUUUAUUGACUUUCAAUUUAUAAUUUUCACAACACUGAAAUGUUUCUUGUCCAGGAUAGAGCUCAUUAAACCCAUCGAGUUAAAAGUGGGUUUGUGGUGAGGGCAGGCUACUUUCCCCAAGAGAGAAGUCUGAACAAGGGUACCUCAAUCAACAGCCACCAAAAUGACCAGGAGUUACUGGCAAAAGAUUACAUUGUAGUAAAAAAAAGUUGGGGGGCCACACCCCAUGGCAUGUGGGGCCUUAGUUCCCCAACCAGUAAUGGAACCUACCCCCUGCAGUGGAAGCACUGAGUCUUAACUGCUGAACCGCCAGGUAAGUCCCUGUAGUCUCUGUUUAAAGUGAGUCAUAAUACUUUCUUGUUAAAAUCAGUUAUUCCAGACAAGCUGUGCCUUGAGAGUAAACUGGUGAACCCAGGUAAAUUCUAAAUUCUCAGAAGGCUUCCUUAAAGUCUACAGAGUUUAUUUCACUGCACCAAGAAGAUUUUCACUGACAUCGUCCAUGAAAAAGGGGAUUUCCACCUCAAGGACCAAUGCUGGCCAUAGAGCCCUUCCUUGACCUCCAGCUUACUCCAAGGUGAAAAUCUGCAUUUUCUUCUAUCAUCUGUGUAGAUAAGCACUGGACACCUUGACCUUGGAGAAUUGCUCAAACUCUCUGGGACGCAAUUGCACAACAUCCAAUUUUAGAAAUUAAAAUUCCUACCCUACAUUCUGUGUUCUGAUUGUGAUGCUAUCAGCAUGGAUCUAAAUGUUUUUAAAAUGCAUAGAACUGUAUACUAGCAGAAUCUACUGUACAAUAAUUUUAAACCAAACAAGAAAACUUAAUUCUAUGCUUUAAGUAAGAAACUCCUUAUAUGGCAUUCUUUUUACCUGUUUAUUCCUGGCAAGGUCUACUUGUUAUUUGUCGAAUGAAUAAAUACUGGAAAGAGCAGAAUACUGAUGGCAGGCAGGCACUCAAUAGUUUGUUCCCGCCACCUUCCCUUUAGUCAUUUCAGAUAACAGGACACAGUGCAGGUCUCCAGAAAAUACUAAUGCCUUGAUCGUUUCUCAGUCACUUGGGCAAUGUUUGACCCAACAGGAGAGGAAAGGCAGCUGCUGGCACAGAGAGUGACCUGGGUGGUUCCUUGUGGCCAUGGAUACAUUCUGUAUCAACAAAAUGACUUCUUCCUACCAAGCACGUGGCAGAAUAGAAUAGAAUUAAAAAUAAAAUCAAUUUAGGCACAUCCCUUUCCUUGAUCUACUUACAUGAUGGAAACUGAGCAUUUAUCUCAAUGCCCCGGGUUAACAUAUACUGGGGAGUUGCCCAGUUAAGAACUUCACUUACUUUAUGUGGUUUCAACCUCACAACAUCUUCCGAGGAGUGACUAGUAUUAUUAAGUGAGGAAGUGAGAGCUCAGACACAAAGAUAAAUGUCCAAAGAUGCGCAGCUACUACGGGGUCCAGCCUGAGUUCCAACGGAGGCUUGUUUGUCUCUUAAUUCAGGCUCUUACCCACAUGCCAUACUGCCUCCAGCAGUUCCAGACAGCCUUUGGAAUGAGAACAUCCUGUGUCCCUACAGAAUCGAAACAAGCCUAAGGUAGGCGUGGGGUGAGUUCCUUGAUGUGUGGGCCCCUCUUCCUAUGGAUUUCAAAGGCUCACUUCAGUGAAGUUCUGUUAAAGUCAAAAGGUGACAUCCUUCCACAGACAGUUGGCCAAGUCUGAGUCCAGCUCUGGCACCUCAACGGCUGGUUAUUAAGGCAACUCUGGAUCACUCUGUGGUUCUAUAGCUAUCCCUUCUUUUUCUUUCUUGUUUUUCCACCUUUUCAAGAGAAUACUUGAGAGAUGGCAGCUCUAAGUGGCCCACUUGUUACUGAUUGAAGGAGAUGCUGACUUGAAAUAAAAACAGUUCCCAGGACCUUCAAGGCCUCAAAUAGAAAGAGCUGUAUUCUUUACACACUUUCAUUGCAGAAGCUGAUUCACAGCUGUACCCAGAGCCUUACAAGGUGCCAGGAACAAGGUGGUACUCAGCAAAUGUUGAAGGAACUAAUAAUGAAAAGUGAAAGUGAAAGUUGCUCAGUCGUGUUCAACUCUUUGCAACCCCAUGGACUACAUAGUCCAUGGAGUUCUCUGGGCCAGAAUACUGGAGUGGUAGCCUUUCCCUUCACCAUGGGAUCUUCCAAACCCAGGGAUCGAACCCAGGCCUCCUACAUUGCAGGCAGAUUCUUCACCAGCUGAGCCACAACAGAAGCCCAUUUAUGAAAAGAAUUUCCUAAAGAAGUCAGCUAGAAAACUGGGAUAGAGAGAUGGGCUAAGAGUUGUAGCGACGAUUGGAAUAAAAGUACAGGAGUGUAUGUGCAUGUACCCCAGAGCAACGGUUCAGCAACCCCUGUGAUGAGGGGAGACACCACCGUGUCUGUCCACUUCUCCUCCAUAUCUUGUGAACUAGAGCUGUCAGUGUAGACACUUCCUGCCCACCCAGGCUUCUGACCUGAGGAAUGAAUCAACCUCUCUCUCUCUAAAAUACACUAAAAUACACUAUGUGUACAUUAAAAUACACAUAGUGUAGAACAACAUACAGCAUCUUCCAAUCUGUCCCUUUAGCCUUGAGUUGUUCCAUUUUUACGUACUAUCUUGGGAUUUGGGCUUCCGUGGUAGCUCAGCUGGUAAAGAAUCCACCUGCAAUGCAGGAGACCCUGGUUCAAUUCCUGGGUCUGGAGGUUCCCCUGGAGAAGGGAUAGGCUACCCACUCCAGCAUUCUUGGGCUUCCCUGGUGGCCCAGAUGGUAAAGAAUCUGCCUGCAAUGUGGGAGACCUGGGUUCAAUCCCUGGGUUGGGAAGAUCCUUAGAGGAGGGCAUGGCAACUCACUCCAGUAUUCUUGCCUGGAGAAUCCCCAUGGACUGAGGAGCCUGGAGGGUUACAGUCGACGGGGUCACAAAGAGUCAGACAUGGCUGAGCAACUAAGCACAUACACACACAUCUUGGGUUUCAGCUGUGAAUACAAAGACACUGGGCUUCAAACUCUUCAUUGAGUCUUACUGUGGUACAGUAGAGUAUUGGUACCAAUAAAUGUUCACCCAGUAAUUGAUCUUGCUCUGCUUUAUUUUUUUGCUAUACUUCAUUCUUGUAGUUUAAGAGCAAGUUUGGCUUUUUGACACACCCAACAAUUAUAUGUGAAAUGCCAGGCUGGAUGAAGCACAAGCUGGAAUCAAGAUUGCUGGGAGAGAUCCCAAUAACCUCAGAUAUGCAGAUGACACCAACUUUAUGGCAGAAAGCUAAAAAGAACUAAAGAGCCUCUUGAUGAAAGUGAAAGAGGAGAGUGAAAAAGUUGGCUUAAAACUCAACAUUCGAAAAACUAAGAUCAUGGCAUCUGGUUGCAUCACUUCAUGGCUAAUAGAUGGGGAAACAAUGGAAACUUUAUUUUCUUGGGCUCCAAAAUCACUGCAGAUGGUAACUGCAGCCAUGAAAUUAAAAGAUGCUUGCUCCUUGUAAGAAAAGCUAUGACUAACCUAGACAGCAUAUUAAAAAGCAGAGACAUUACUUUGCCAACAAAGGUCCAUCUAUUCAAAGCUAUGGUUUUUCCAGCAGUCAUGUAUGGAUGCAAGAAUUGGACUAUAAAGAAAGCUGAGCACUGAAGAAUUGAUGCUUUUGAAGUGUGGUAUUGGAGAAGACCCUUGAGAGUCCCUUGGACUGCAAGGAGAUCCAACUAGUCAAUCCUAAAGGAAAUAGGUCCUGAAUAUUCAUUGGAAGGACUGAUACUGAAGUUGAAGCGCCAGUACUUUGGCCACCUGAUGCGAAGAACUGACUCCUUAGAAAAGACCCUGACGCUAGGCAAGAUUGAAGGCAGAAGGAGAAGGGGACGACUGAGGAUGAGAUGGUUGGAUGGCAUCACCGAUUCGAUGGAGAUGAGUUUGAGUAAGCUUUGGGAGUUGGUGAUGGACAGGGAAGCCUGGCUGUGCUGCAGUCUAUGGGGUUUCAGAGUCGGACUCGACAGAGGCACAGAACUGAACUGAACAACUAUAAGUACUUCUUGACUGCCCUCUAGUGGUAAUGGUGAAGAAGUGAAACUCAGAACAAUGAACAUCUUUCCUGCUAGAAAAAAGUGGCCCUUCUUUUCCUUAAUUCACAGGACUUCACAUUACUCAAAACUGUAAUCAAUCCUACACACCACCCAAUGUGUAAAAGUGAUAAACAACAAGGAUUUAGAUAAGCACAGGGAACUAUAUUAAAUAUAUUGUAUAACCUAUAAUGGAAAAGAAUCUGAAAAAAAAACAUGUAUAUAUUUAUAACUGACCAAUCCCUGGAUCGGGAAGAUCCUCCGGAGUAGGAGAUGGCAACCUGCUCCAUGUUCUUGUCUGGAAAAUUUCAUGGACAGAGGAGUCUGGCAAGCUAUAGUUCUGACUGAGCAACAAAGCGCAUAACUUAAUGACUUUGCUGUACGUCUGAAACUAACUCAAUAUUGUAAAUCACCAAUACUUCAGCAAAAAAAUAAUAGUGGGAUGAAUGAUUCUGACUCGGCCAAAGUCCUGCAUCUUGAUGACAUCAGUAGUAAUCAAAUCAAAGAUGAGCUCAUGGACUGACAUACUCCAAUCAGAGUGGACCCCAGAAUGUUUUCUGGAAAUGCUAGGAUAAAGAUGCUCACUAUUUUUCACUGAAUUUCAGCAUAGAAGGAUGCUACUCCAGGAGCUGAUGACUUCAUCUUUCACACUUAAGAAGGGAACUGCCAAGAAUGGAGACAACGUCAAGGCAACACAGCUGAGAAAUGUAAAGAGAAACUAAAUUUUGGAAAUAUGGUUUGGGCCCUGAGUCAAGUCAUAUCUGAAGCUGAUGUCUUUGAAUUGCUUGAUUUACAAGAGCCAAUAAAUACUUCUCCAUGCUUAAGCCAAAAGAAAAACAAAAUUGUGAUCUAUCCAAAGUUAGUAGUUUAUCCUCAUGUUAUAUAUGAAUCUGAUGCGUAGAAUGGUGCUUCUCAAACUAAAUGUGGUGAAGGGCCAGUUUUCAUGUUUUCUUGAUCUGUUGUGAAUCAUUCCAUUUGUAAAAUUCAAUAAAAAUGAAUUACAGAAUAAAUUACAUUAAAAACCAAAGACAUACAAAAUAAAAACCUAAUUGUUAUUAUCAGAUUCAACAGACAAUAUUACAUUUCAAUAAACAUAAUCAGAACAAACAUAACAUAGGGAAAAAGUAAAAUAUUUGCAAAAUCUGUAUGUGUUGUUCAUUGAAUGUACAUGUUAUGAGAGAUGAAUAGAGAGAACUACUUUUAUACUAAUAAUUUUUUGUCAUUCUUCAGGCAUAACUAAACAAAAAUUGUAAGUAAAAUAUAAUAUUAUUUUACUUAUAAAAUUAUAAUUAAAAUAUAAAUGAAUACUAUUCAUAUCAAUAUUGUUUUUAGUGGACCAAUAUGCUUAUAAGGGCUUGUUAAGUUUAGAUAAAGCAGGCAGAAUGGAAUAUAAUGCUACUUACAAGGUACAAUGACUAUUGAAACUGUUUUUAUGUUUUGUUUUAAUAAAAGCUCUAGUGGAGAGACCAGUAUUACAGAGGUUUGUUAACAAGAAUAGAAGAAGAAAUUUUAAAGCCAUUCCAGGAAGCUCAAGAUUUUCAUCUUUCACUUUUAUCGAAAAUAAAACAAGUGAUUCUGAUGUUCAAAAUCCACAAUCCAUUGGCAUUUCCACCAAUUUAUUCUUUAAGUUUAUAAAGUUGAAAAGUUACCUUUCAAGGAAAGCAAUGGUUUCUGGAUCUGUAAAUUUCCCAUGCAUGGAUCUUCUUUUGAUGGAUAUAAAAUGUAAACAGUUUUGUCAAGUUUGUAAGGCAUUUGGCCAUAACACUUCCCACAUGUGCAAUAUCAAGAUCAUCACCUACUUUACUGAUAAUUGUUGUUAAAUUAAGGAGCAUGUUAUAUAGCCUGUGGAAACCCUCUUUUUCCAAGCUUCUCACUUUCAUUUUUGCUGUUCGAUCCUACCUGCCAUUUUAAUCAUAUCACAGUCUUUCCUUGCUUAGAAGUAGAAAGAUCAUCAACAAUGCCCAAAAUAUCACACAAAUAAACAAAUCUGUCAUCCAAACCACAUUUUUAAAAGGCAGAGACCUUAUGAAAGUGUUUUUCACUUUCAAGGAACACUGCAAAUUUGUUUCACAUUAAGACAUUGCUAAUAGAACGUUCCACUUCAGUCACCGCUUCAGUCAGCUUGGAAUCUCAUGUCUCCUACCAUAUGCAACAAUAGGUGUUUGCCUGUUAUCACAUAAUAAAGAGAAAAUCUCAAACCUAAUACAGUGGUUUUUGCAUAAUUCACAAUUUUUUACUGUGUAACUUAACACUGUUUAGUUCAGGUAAAAUUUUUUCAGUGCGAAGCUAUCUUGAUGAAGGAAGCUGUAUGUUGAUUUAUAUGCUCAUGCAAGCUCUUUAAUUUGGGUAAUGACUUCAGAAUGUUUUUCUGUCAACGCAGCUGCACCAUUAGAACAUAUUCCUAUACUAAAUUUAAACCACAUUCCUUAAGAGUGUAAUCCUUCACAGUUUUAUGUGGUUCAGAUUUAGUUGUGUUUGUCAUCAAUGAAGCUGAAAAAAAUUCUUCCUCGUAUCUCUACUGUGUUCAAAUUGCAUAUGCAUGCAUGCUAAGUUGCUUCAGUUGUGUCUGACUCUUUGUGACCUAUGAACUGUGGCCCACAAGGCUCCUCUGUCUAAGAGAUUCUCCAGGCAAGAUUACUGGAGUGGAUUGCCAUUCCUUCCUCCAGGAGAUCUUCACCUAGGGAUUAAACCCUAGUCUUUUGCAUUGACAGGUAUGUUCUUUACUACUGGUGCCACCUGGGAAGCCCCAAAUUGCAUAUACAUAUUUCAAAUUAAUUAUCAUGUUAGCAGUAUGUGUACAUUCAACAAUUUGAAAUGAAGAAAAAACAAAAAUACCUUGCUACCUGUAUUUUUGUGUGUGAGUUAAUCUGUCACUGUCUUGAGCUAGUUGUUGAAUUUGUCCAACUAUGAAGAAUGAUAUUUGAUCUACCUACUUAGACACAAUUCACCCAGAAUUUCCAAGAUUCUUGAGAGUUUUGCACUAUUUUUUAAAUCUUAGCAUCCCGAAGUGCUACUUUAUUAGGCACAAGGAACAAUGCUUAUAUGGGAAAUUUUCAACCUCCACGUCUAUCAACUUUUAAAAAUUCAAUAAUCUUUCAGAGUGCUCUUUAAGUUUUGAACUUAAUCUUUUGUCUUCUUUGUAAAUGCUACCUAAAUUUGAUGUUUAUUUAUUUACACAAUUUUUACAGGCUACACUUCACUUAUAUUAUUACAAAACACUGGCUACAUUCCCCAUGUUGUACAAUAUAGCUUGUAGCCUAUUUUGCACCCUGUACCUUCUACUACCCCACCUUUAUAUUGCCCUUUCCUCAUUUCCUCAACAGUAAACACUAGUUUGUUCUCUUUAUUUGUGAAUCUGUUUCCUUUUUAUUACAUUCACUAGUUUGUUGUAUUUUUUAGAUCUCACACAUAAGUCAUAUCAUGCAUUGUCUUUGUCUAACGUUUCACUUAGUAUGUUGUGUGUGUCGUGUGUGUGUGUGUGUUUAGUUGUUAAGUCCUGACUCUUCUGAGACCCUAUGGACCAUAGCCUGCCAGGCUCCUCUGUCCAUGGGAUUUCCCAGGCAAGCACACUGGAGUGGUUUGCAGUUUCCUCCUCCAGGGGAUUUUGCCAACCAAACCUACAUCUUUGGUACUGGCAGGCAAUAAUGCCCUCAAAGUCCCUGAAUAUUGCGGCAUAUGGCAAAGUUUCAUUCUUUUUUACGGCUGAGUAGUAUUCCAUUGUGUAUGUGUGUGUACCCACAUAUACAUACAUAUAAACACACCACAUCUUUAGCUGUUCAUUUGUUGUUGGACACUUAGGUUGCUUAUAAUGAUGCUAUGUACAUUGUAGUGCACAUGUAUUUUUGAUUUGGUGUUUUUGGUGGGAUUUUUUUACAUACAUCUAUAUAGCCCGGAGUGGACCUUCUGGGUCAUACAGUAGUUCCAAUUUUAGUAUUUUGAGAUACCUUCAUACUUUCUUCCACAGUGGCUGCACCAAUUUACAUCCCCACCGAACAGUGUUGGAGGGUUCCCUUUUCUCUGCAUCCUUGCCAACAUUUGUUCUUUGUGCUCUUUUUGAUGAUAGCCAUUCUGACAGGUGUGAUGUGGUUUUUGAUUCACAUUUCCCUGAUGAUUUAAUGAUGUUGAGUAUCUUUUCAUGUCCUUGUUAGCCACCUGCAUUUCUUCUCUGGAAAAAUGUCUAUUCAGUUCUUCUGCCCAGUUUUUAAUAAAGUUGUUUAUGUUUUGAUAUUGCAUUGCAAGAGCUGUUUACAUAUGUUGGAUAAUAAUUCCUUAUUUGUCAAACCAUUUGCAAAUAUUUUCUCCCAUUCAGUAUGCUGUCUUUUUGUUUUGUUGAUGGUUUCCUAUGCUGUGCAAAAACUUUUAAGUUUAUUUAGGUCCUAUUUGUUUAUUUUUGCUUUUUUUUCCCUUUAUGAGACAGAUCAAAAAAAGAAAAAAACUUUCCUCAAAUCUACUUCCCAAUCUUCCCACCCAAUCUGUAACCCCAGGCAACUACUAAUCUAUUUGAUGUGUCUAUGAAUUUGUCUGUUUUGGAAAUUUCAUAUAAAUGGAAUCAUACAAUAUGUGCUCUUUUGUGACUAGAUUCUUUCACUUAGCUUAUGUUUGAAAGAUUCACCUUUUUUUUUUUUUCCUUUGGCUGCAUUGCAUGAGUUCCCUGCAGGGCUUGAAUCCAGGCCACAGCAGUGAAAGCCCAGAAUCCUAACCACUAGGCCACCAGGGAACUCCCUUGGUACUCUUAAGUGUAUGCGUCAGUACAGUCUUCAGCGUGUAUCAGUAUUACUCUUUAUUGCUGAAACAUACUUUAUUGUAUGGAUUGAGCACAUUUUACCCAUCUGUCAGUUGAUGGACAUUUAUUUCUACCUUUUAGCUGUUAAGAAUAAUGCUGCUAUGGACAUUCAUAUACACAUUUUUGUGUGGAAGUUUUCUUUACUCUUGCAUAUAUACCUAGAAAUGAAAUUGUGAGUCAUGUGGUAAUUAUAUAUCUAACUUUUCGAGGAACAAAGUGGCUGCAUCAUUUGACAUUCCCAGCAGCAGUAAGACAGUUCCAAUUUCUCCAUAUCCAAGCUAACACCUGUCAUUGUCUGUCUUUUUUAUUUUAGCUAUCCUAGUGCACAUGAAGUGGUAGCUGACUGUAGCUAAUGAUGGUGAGCAUCUUUUUAUAAGUUUACUGACCACUUGGGAAAGCUUGUAUUCAAAUCUUUUACCCAUUUUUAAACCAAGUUGUCUUUUUAUUGUUAUUGUAAGAGUUCUUAUAUAUUUCAGAAACAAGUCCCUUUUCAAAUAUAUCAAUAAAAUUCACAAAUAUUUUCUUCUUGUUUUAUUUCUUUAGAUGCAUAAAAGUUUUUUAAUUUUAUUUAUUUAUUUUCAGCUGUGCUGAGUCUUUGUUGCUGUGCAUAGCUUUUCGCUUUUUUCUCCAGUUGCAGAGGGCGGUGGUGGCCGGGGAUUGGGGAAAGUCGCUACUCUUCCUUGCAGUACAAGGGCUUCUCAUUGUGGUGGCUUCUUUUGUUGAGAAGCACGGGCCCUAGAGUGCUCAGGUUUCAGUAGCUAUGGCUUGCAGGCUCUAGAAUACAGGCUCAGUAGUUGUGGCAUAUGGGCUUAAUUGCUCCACGACAUGUGGGAUCUUCCCAGACCAGGGAUGGAACUGGUGUCCUGCACUGGCAGACAGAUUCUUAACCACUGGACCAUCAGGGAAAUCCCUGCACAAAUGUUUUGAUAGAGUAUAAAUUAUGUUUCUUUCAUCACAUGUGCUUUUAGUGUCAUGUUUAAGAAACCAUUGCCAAAUCUAUAGUCACAAAGGUUUACUCCUAUAUUAUCAUCUAAGAUUUUCUAUUUUUAGCCCUUACAUUUAAGAAGUCUAUGGCUACAGCUAAGACCACGUUGUUCCUAGGAGUGAAACAGGCAGCCAGUUGUGGUAGAGGUUCAUUUACAUACCACAUUAGAUUAGGCUUGGGUGAGUGGAGGCUGAUGUCAGUCACACAGCAGAAAAAUCACAACCCCUCAUCCAAUUUCUAGACUUUGGCCAGAUCCCACACCACAGCCCAUAAGUUGAAUAGAAGGCUGGGUCCUGAGCAAGGCAUAUUCCUCCUGCAAGUAUAUUCAGUAUAUUUAUUCCUCCAAUCUGACCCUGAAACCUAUCAGAGUAACUGACCCAUGGGAGAAAGGAAGCAGUCAGAUUUUUGAGCAUUACUGAACCCAGGCAGGACCCUGGGGGCCCUGCCAUAUAUCAAAAGCCUUUCUGUGUCGACCAUUUCUUGUUUGUAGGAAAAAGGCUUCAGCCUCCUAGACUUUCCCUGAAUUCCAAAGGGCAUAUUCAAAGUUACUAACUAGGGGAGUGAGGGAAUGUAGAAAGAAAUUAAAAGGAGGCAAGAGCCAAUAGAGCAGUGACGGGAAGGGGUCCCGGUUCUUUCUCAAGGUCCACACACUACAAUCUGAUAGACAUCUCUUGAGUUCUUCUACAGGCACUAAGUCCCCCAAGCAGGUCAAGAACGCUAACUGAAGGCUGAGCACACGCAUGUGGACCCCAGACUGGCUGGAACAAGAGGACUGAUCAUUGAAAUUCCUGGAAUACCACCCUGUUACUGUACCAGAAGGUCACACACCUCUGUAGCCCUUCCUCCAAAAUUUGCCUAUAAAAACUCUUCCCAGAAAACCAUUGGGUAGUUUGAGCUUUUUGA